UGGGGAAUAUUGGGCAAUGGGCGCAAGCCUGACCCAGCAACGCCGCGUGAAGGAAGAAGGCUUUCGGGUUGUAAACUUCUUUGACGAGGGACGAAAGAAAUGACGGUACCUCGAAAACAAGCCACGGCUAACUACGUGCCAGCAGCCGCGGUAAUACGUAGGUGGCAAGCGUUGUCCGGAUUUACUGGGUGUAAAGGGCGUGUAGGCGGGUUGUCAAGUCAGAUGUGAAAUCUAUGGGCUUAACCCAUAACGUGCAUUUGAAACUGACAGUCUUGAGUGAUGGAGAGGCAGGCGGAAUUCCUAGUGUAGCGGUGAAAUGCGUAGAUAUUAGGAGGAACACCAGUGGCGAAGGCGGCCUGCUGGACAUUAACUGACGCUGAGGCGCGAAAGCGUGGGGAGCAAACA
RNAcentral lists this ribosomal RNA (405 nucleotides) under uncultured prokaryote. Its description in RNAcentral is "bacterial SSU rRNA". It matches the Rfam family "Bacterial small subunit ribosomal RNA", at positions 355 to 774 of the family's 1533-position model. The record is from RNAcentral.